AUUUAAAUAGUUUCAUUAAAACACUAAUUUGUGGCAUUAGAGAUGGUAACUUAAUUCUUACCUUUAAAUC
Molecule: transfer RNA, 70 nt
Filed under: Pseudocolochirus violaceus
Lineage: Eukaryota; Metazoa; Echinodermata; Holothuroidea; Dendrochirotida; Cucumariidae
Description: tRNA-His
Source: RNAcentral